GUGUACGCAAAGUAGAUCAGUUGAACAUAUACAUAUACAUAUAUCCAUUGUUUUUCAGAUUCUUUUCCCAUAUGGGUUAUUAAAGAAUAAUGAAUAGAGUUCCCUGUGCUAUACAGUAGGUCCUUUUUAGUUAUCUAUUUUAUGUACAGUAGUGUGAGCUUUGUUAAUUCUGAUUGUGAAGCAAGGUGAUCACUGACAUGUUCUUACAGGGGACAGUUUUCCAGUUUUGAAGAGACCUGUUGGGAUAAACACAUUCAAGAUAAUAGCGCUGGGACAGGACAAAAGCCACUUCAUUGUAAAAAUGCCUUCAACCUGAAACAUUCUGAUGGACCUGUGCACGAACAAUGGACACACACUGCCUAAUGUGGGAUGGAAGAGUAGCUGGUGGACCGCGGCAUUCUCUGGAUUCAUGGAUGUUAUUUCCUCAGCAAAUGGGAAGUUGCCCUCUAUAAAAAUGCUCAUUUCUAAAGGUAAGCUUAAAGAUGUUAGAGUGGAGCUCUUCUUU
This 505-nucleotide long non-coding RNA is filed under the name Bos mutus (wild yak). RNAcentral describes it as "lncRNA (ENSBMUG00000024276.1)". Lineage: Eukaryota; Metazoa; Chordata; Mammalia; Artiodactyla; Bovidae. The record is from RNAcentral.